This 124-nucleotide small RNA is filed under the name Rhizobium sp. Leaf371. Its description in RNAcentral is "Alphaproteobacterial ar14". It matches the Rfam family "Alphaproteobacterial ar14". From Rfam's summary of the family: Smr14C2 was renamed NfeR1 (Nodule Formation Efficiency RNA) highly expressed in salt stress and during the symbiotic interaction on legume roots. The record is from Rfam by way of RNAcentral. Lineage: Bacteria; Pseudomonadati; Pseudomonadota; Alphaproteobacteria; Hyphomicrobiales; Rhizobiaceae.
GUAUCUCGAACGCUCCACUCCUCCUCCCAGGAUCGUUCGAAGGAAUGGCGGCAUCCUCCUCCCAGCCGCCGUUCGGUUCUUAUCGGAAAGCCUGCCGCACCUCCUCCCGCGGCAGGCUUUUUCG